CUUGCUGCGCCCGCGGCGAGGCAACUAGGGCACAACUGAAGCAAAUCGUCUCUCAUCUCUAGAUUUCUGAAGAAAAUGAUCAGGGGCAAAAGGGGCAAAACUGUGCUAAAAACUAAAGAGAAAAAGGACCCCCCCAAAAAAAACAGUACUCCUCAGCGCAUUCACCACCUACGUAAACGGUUGUUGGUGAACCGGACAGGUGGUGCAAUAAACCAGCCCAACAACAGGAAAGCAGUGGCUCCGCCUUUACAUGAUGUCAUUACCGAAGUUCACAGUGAGCACGGCAGUGUUCCAGGCCUCCAUGACCGGAUAGAAUAACAAAGGCUUAGAGAAGGGAAAAAAACGCGAGCAAGUAACAACAAUGCGUGGGUGAAAUCAGAAGUAAAAUCCAAAAAGCCCAGGAUCUAACACAUUAUUCCAUUCUUCAGCAAAUUGGAAAAACAGGUGACUGAGACACUGGCAAAAAGCAGGAGCUUACAUGAACAGAGGUCAGGAGCUUGUAAGAUUAGAAGGCUCCACAAUAGACGUGUAAAUCCUAUUGCAUUAACUUGGAGCUUUAAUAGUAAACAAGCGAGUAUCAGACCUGGGAGUGCCUGGGAUCUCUGCCCGUACUCAUCAUCUAGUCUUGGGUUGUCCGCAGGGUCCCGAAGUCACCAGGUGCCGCGAAAGCUCAUAGGAGAGAGAGACAGGGGGUAUCCGAGGGGCUGCCUGAGGAUGUCUGGAGAUGUCUGGAGGUAUCUGGGGGGUGUCUGUGGAUGUCUGGAGAUGUCUGGAGGUAUCUGGGGGAUGUCUGUGGAUGUCUGGAGAUGUCUGGAGGUAUCUGGGGGGUGUCUGUGGAUGUCUGGAGAUGUCUGGAGGUAUCUGGGGGGUGUCUGUGGAUGUCUGGAGAUGUCUGGAGGUAUCUGGGGGAUGUCUGUGGAUGUCUGGAGAUGUC
Long non-coding RNA from Esox lucius (northern pike), 934 nucleotides. The record is from Ensembl. NCBI's taxonomy places the organism in Eukaryota, Metazoa, Chordata, Actinopteri, Esociformes, Esocidae.